UACGUAGGGGGCAAGCGUUGUCCGGAAUUAUUGGGCGUAAAGAGCGUGUAGGCGGUCCUGUAAGUCGGCUGUGAAAGUCCAGGGCUCAACCCUGGGAUGCCGGUCGAUACUGCCGGACUAGAGUUCGGAAGAGGCGAGUGGAAUUCCCGGUGUAGCGGUGAAAUGCGCAGAUAUCGGGAGGAACACCUAUGGCGAAGGCAGCUCGCUGGGACGUUACUGACGCUGAGACGCGAAAGCGUGGGGAGCAAACAGG
RNAcentral lists this ribosomal RNA (253 nucleotides) under uncultured bacterium. RNAcentral's name for it is "partial 16S ribosomal RNA". It matches the Rfam family "Bacterial small subunit ribosomal RNA", at positions 524 to 776 of the family's 1533-position model. The record is from RNAcentral.